UGGGGAAUUUUGGACAAUGGGCGCAAGCCUGAUCCAGCUAUUCCGCGUGUGGGAUGAAGGCCCUCGGGUUGUAAACCACUUUUGUAGAGAACGAAAAGACACCUUCGAAUAAAGGGUGUUGCUGACGGUACUCUAAGAAUAAGCACCGGCUAACUACGUGCCAGCAGCCGCGGUAAUACGUAGGGUGCGAGCGUUAAUCGGAAUUACUGGGCGUAAAGGGUGCGCAGGCGGUUGAGUAAGACAGAUGUGAAAUCCCCGAGCUUAACUCGGGAAUGGCAUAUGUGACUGCUCGACUAGAGUGUGUCAGAGGGAGGUGGAAUUCCACGUGUAGCAGUGAAAUGCGUAGAUAUGUGGAAGAACACCGAUGGCGAAGGCAGCCUCCUGGGACAUAACUGACGCUCAGGCACGAAAGCGUGGGGAGCAAACA
This 427-nucleotide ribosomal RNA is filed under the name uncultured bacterium. RNAcentral's name for it is "bacterial SSU rRNA". It matches the Rfam family "Bacterial small subunit ribosomal RNA", at positions 355 to 774 of the family's 1533-position model. The record is from RNAcentral.